GGUCCUGCCCCGCAUGAAAAGAUUUUCCUUUUGAAAAACAUUCAUAUUUUCAACAUUCAUACAACUAUGAACACUGAGGAGGCAAAUUCCCGUAUUGGCCCUACACAUUUAUAUUUUCUCACUGUGGCUAGGUAACAUUUAUUCAUGUUGAAAGUAACACUGGCCAUUCAGAGAAGGGUAGUUUAGUCAUAAAGUAAAAUUCAUUGUCUAGAGAGUACUCAACUUGGAAAUAGGCAUUUGGAUUCUUACAAACUUAUAACAAUAGGUCAAAUUGGACCAUAUGCUUUUCCAUAGUCACUUUUAUUCAAGAAAAUUUAUCAAAUUACUAACAAGAUGAACUAUUUAAUAAUUUACCUUUUUAGGAUUAUUCCAGACAUGUGGUGUUUUAUGGGAUAUUUGAAAUUAAAUCAAAAGAUGUGGAUAAAGUGUUAAAUUGUUAAUAUUUCAUAGGGAAUGUGAUUAAUUUCUUUUUAAAAAAUUACCGAGCUGACAAGGAAACGCUCAAGUCAGCAUUGAGGGGGAGCUAGGGAAUCCUAGCCAUGAAAACCCGAAAUUGCCUCACUCUAUUGGUUCAUUACUCUUUUUUUGUUUUUUGGUUAGAUAUUGUCUUAUCACUUGAGAAUAGCCUAAGCUGGACCAGCACGUCAAACUUUGACAUUAGGACCUAAUUUUUUGUUAGAUAUUGUCUUAUCACUUGAGAAGCGCCUAAGCUGGACCAGCACGUCAAACUUUGACAUUAGGACCUAAUUCUGGCUUUU
RNAcentral lists this long non-coding RNA (758 nucleotides) under Amborella trichopoda. RNAcentral's name for it is "long non-coding RNA (ATRI_LNC005289)". The record is from RNAcentral. Lineage: Eukaryota; Viridiplantae; Streptophyta; Magnoliopsida; Amborellales; Amborellaceae.